AUACGGAGGGGGCUAGCGUUGUUCGGAAUUACUGGGCGUAAAGCGCACGUAGGCGGCUUUGUAAGUCAGAGGUGAAAGCCCGGAGCUCAACUCCGGAACUGCCCUCAAAACUGAUUGUCUUGAGUUCGGGAGAGGUGAGUGGAAUUCCUAGUGUAGAGGUGAAAUUCGUAGAUAUUAGGAAGAACACCAGUGGCGAAGGCGGCUCACUGGCCCGAUACUGACGCUGAGGUGCGAAAGCGUGGGGAGCAAACAGGAUUAGAAACCCCGGUAGUCC
RNAcentral lists this ribosomal RNA (274 nucleotides) under uncultured bacterium. RNAcentral's name for it is "partial 16S ribosomal RNA". It matches the Rfam family "Bacterial small subunit ribosomal RNA", at positions 523 to 796 of the family's 1533-position model. The record is from RNAcentral.